GAUGAACGCUAGCGGCAGGCCUAAUACAUGCAAGUCGAACGGUAAGUAUGAUAGCAAUAUUGUACCAAGAGUGACGUACGGGUGCGUAACACGUAUGCAACCUACCCUUUACAGAUGGAUAGCUCGGGGAAACUCGAAUUAACCCGUCAUAGUAUAGUUGAAUGGCAUCAUUUAAUUAUUAAAACUGAGGUGGUAAAGGAUGGGCAUGCGUCUGAUUAGUUAGUUGGCGGGGAACGG
RNAcentral lists this ribosomal RNA (237 nucleotides) under uncultured bacterium. RNAcentral describes it as "partial 16S ribosomal RNA". It matches the Rfam family "Bacterial small subunit ribosomal RNA", at positions 28 to 262 of the family's 1533-position model. The record is from RNAcentral.